GACGAACGCUGGCGGCGUGCUUAACACAUGCAAGUCGAACGGAAAGGCCCUGCUUUUGUGGGGUGCUCGAGUGGCGAACGGGUGAGUAACACGUGAGUAACCUGCCCUUGACUUUGGGAUAACUUCAGGAAACUGGGGCUAAUACCGGAUAGGAGCUCCUGCUGCAUGGUGGGGGUUGGAAAGUUUCGGCGGUUGGGGAGGGACUCGCGGCUUAUCAGCUUGUUGGUGGGGUAGUGGCUUACCAAGGCUUUGACGGGUAGCCGGCCUGAGAGGGUGACCGGCCCCAUUGGGACUGAGCUGCGGCCCAGACUCCUACGGGAGGCAGCAGUGGGGAAUAUUGCACUAUGGGCGGAAGCCUGAUGCAGCAACGCCGCGUGCGGGAUGACGGCCUUCGGGUUGUAAACCGCUUUCGCCUGUGACGAGGCGUGAGUGACGGUAAUGGGUAAAGAAGCACCGGCUAACUACGUG
Molecule: ribosomal RNA, 468 nt
Filed under: uncultured bacterium
Lineage: Bacteria
Description: partial 16S ribosomal RNA
Rfam family: Bacterial small subunit ribosomal RNA
Source: RNAcentral